This 419-nucleotide ribosomal RNA is filed under the name uncultured bacterium. RNAcentral's name for it is "partial 16S ribosomal RNA". It matches the Rfam family "Bacterial small subunit ribosomal RNA", at positions 362 to 773 of the family's 1533-position model. The record is from RNAcentral.
UAUUGGACAAUGGGGGCAACCCUGAUCCAGCCAUGCCGCGUGUGUGAAGAAGGACUUCGGAUUGUAAAGCACUACACGUUGGGAGGAAGGGCGAUAGGUUAAUACCCAGAAGCUUUGACGUUACCAACAGAAUAAGCACCGGCUAACUCUGUGCGAGCAGCCGCGGUAAUACAGAGGGUGCAAGCGUUAAUCGGAAUUACUGGGCGUAAAGCGCGCGUAGGUGGUUCAGUAAGAUAGGUGUGAAAUCACCGGGCUGAACCUGGGAACUGCUUUCAUAACUGCUGAGCUAGAGUACGGUAGAGGGUAGUGGAAUUUACUGUGUAGCGGUGAAAUGCGUAGAUAUAGGAAGGAACACCAGUGGCGAAGGCGACUACCUGGACUGAUACUGACACUGAGGUGCGAAAGCGUGGGGAGCAAAC